RNAcentral lists this ribosomal RNA (492 nucleotides) under uncultured bacterium. RNAcentral describes it as "partial 16S ribosomal RNA". It matches the Rfam family "Bacterial small subunit ribosomal RNA", at positions 29 to 507 of the family's 1533-position model. The record is from RNAcentral.
AGUGAACGCUGGCGGUAGGCCUAACACAUGCAAGUCGAACGGCAGCACAGUAAGAGCUUGCUCUUACGGGUGGCGAGUGGCGGACGGGUGAGGAAUACAUCGGAAUCUACUUUUUCGUGGGGGAUAACGUAGGGAAACUUACGCUAAUACCGCAUACGACCUACGGGUGAAAGCAGGGGAUCUUCGGACCUUGCGCGAUUGAAUGAGCCGAUGUCGGAUUAGCUAGUUGGCGGGGUAAAGGCCCACCAAGGCGACGAUCCGUAGCUGGUCUGAGAGGAUGAUCAGCCACACUGGAACUGAGACACGGUCCAGACCCCUACGGGAGGCAGCAGUGGGGAAUAUUGGACAAUGGGCGCAAGCCUGAUCCAGCCAUACCGCGUGGGUGAAGAAGGCCUUCGGGUUGUAAAGCCCUUUUGUUGGGAAAGAAAAGCAGCAGGUUAAUACCCCGCUGUUCUGACGGUUCCCAAAGAAUAAGCACCGGCUAACUUCGUG